This 707-nucleotide long non-coding RNA is filed under the name Nicotiana benthamiana. Its description in RNAcentral is "long non-coding RNA (NBEN_LNC038387)". The record is from RNAcentral. Lineage: Eukaryota; Viridiplantae; Streptophyta; Magnoliopsida; Solanales; Solanaceae.
UACAAGUGGAUUUUUCUUUGCUUGGUAUAUUAGAUGUUGGAGAUGAUGUUGGAGUGUAGACUGGAUGUCUUAGUGUUGGGUUAUUCUAGACUAUUGUGCUAUGGGCUCUAUCGGAAAAUGCCACACUGUGCGUGGCAAGGUGCAUCUGAUUAUGUUCUAGCGGAGUGGAUUGUAUUCCAAAGACCAGUGGACGAUUGCGAAUGAUAUUGCGCUUGGGAUGUAGGAGCCUUUCCGAAGUCUGAACCACCACAGUGAGCGCGGGUACCCCAAUGGAUUGGGCUGCACGUCGCAGCGUUCAUGUGCAUUGCAUUGCAUUCAUGCAUUGAUAUUUAUCUGAUCAACCUGACUUUGUUUUAUUGCCACUUUUGUGUUAAUUAUACUAAAUUACUAGGUAUAGCUUUAUAUUGUGGUAUUUUUGUGGAUUCUCAUGUUUAGUCAUUAUAUCGCUUAUUGCUCACUAAGUUGGAAGUAGUCACUUUACUCCCUGCACCAUGUGUGCAGAUUCAGGUGCGACAGGAGCUUAGUUGAGCGGUUUGCAGUCUUUCAGAGUCGCUUCAGAGUUUUCAAGAUAGUUGCCCGGCAUCCGCAGGACCCGACUUCUCCCCCUUAUCCAUUUAUAAUUACGCACCCUAGACUUAUGUAUUUUGAAGAUUUAUUACUCGGUUGUAUUUAGAUGCUCUAAAUUCGUGACCCCAGAUGUGUUGGGA